Molecule: long non-coding RNA, 707 nt
Organism: Triticum aestivum (bread wheat)
Lineage: Eukaryota; Viridiplantae; Streptophyta; Magnoliopsida; Poales; Poaceae
Exons: 3
Source: RefSeq, a predicted model, not a curated record
CUCUCUAGUUUCAGCAUUGAUUAAGUCUGUUCCUCGAUGGUCUAUAGAUCUAGAUGUAAUUUUUAUUAUUUUUAAAGUUUGUUGUAUCAUUAUGAUUAAAGAUGAAUGGAUAAAAAAAUUUCAUUGAAAAAACACUAAAACUUUCGUAAUCAACGCGGGCGCAAUUUUUUCAGGUGCCUGACAAUUUACCAAACGCGAAAAAUCACACCCCCGCACGCCACGCACAUCCAAUCGCCGCCGCCACCUUGACCAACGGCCGCCGCAUCGCCGUCCACCGCCACGCAUCUGCCAUCCCCGGCUUCCCCUCCGCGGCUCCCUCAUCCGGCUUCGCCGACUCGUCGCGCAUCUUCGUCCUCCCCUCCGUGGCGUCCUUCGCCGGUCUACCCUCCCCGAUGCGGUCCGCACCUACGGACUCCCCUCCUCCUCCGUCAGCAGCUCCAGUCGCCACCCCCGCAGUGGAAUGAAUCACUCCCACGAGAUGGAGGGAGGCACGCCGUCGACCAUGGCAGCAGGGGCGGCCCAGAAGACUUCAAGUUACUUGUUCCUCUCCCCGAUGGAACACGCACAUGCGCGCGCACACACACACACACGAAGGAUGGGAAGGAGGAUAAACGGCGGCACAGGUCACAGGUCACGGGUCCGUAUUGAUGGGGAAUGGCGCGAGUGCUUCUGUUCAUGGUGUUGGCACGGUCGAUCUGAAGUUUACU